GGUUAAGCGACUAAGCGUACACGGUGGAUGCCCUGGCAGUCAGAGGCGAUGAAGGACGUGCUAAUCUGCGAUAAGCGUCGGUAAGGUGAUAUGAACCGUUAUAACCGGCGAUUUCCGAAUGGGGAAACCCAGUGUGUUUCGACACACUAUCAUUAACUGAAUCCAUAGGUUAAUGAGGCGAACCGGGGGAACUGAAACAUCUAAGUACCCCGAGGAAAAGAAAUCAACCGAGAUUCCCCCAGUAGCGGCGAGCGAACGGGGAGCAGCCCAGAGCCUGAAUCAGUGUGUGUGUUAGUGGAAGCGUCUGGAAAGGCGCGCGAUACAGGGUGACAGCCCCGUACACAAAAAUGCACAUGCUGUGAGCUCGAUGAGUAGGGCGGGACACGUGGUAUCCUGUCUGAAUAUGGGGGGACCAUCCUCCAAGGCUAAAUACUCCUGACUGACCGAUAGUGAACCAGUACCGUGAGGGAAAGGCGAAAAGAACCCCGGCGAGGGGAGUGAAAAAGAACCUGAAACCGUGUACGUACAAGCAGUGGGAGCACGCUUAGGCGUGUGACUGCGUACCUUUUGUAUAAUGGGUCAGCGACUUAUAUUCUGUAGCAAGGUUAACCGAAUAGGGGAGCCGAAGGGAAACCGAGUCUUAACUGGGCGUUAAGUUGCAGGGUAUAGACCCGAAACCCGGUGAUCUAGCCAUGGGCAGGUUGAAGGUUGGGUAACACUAACUGGAGGACCGAACCGACUAAUGUUGAAAAAUUAGCGGAUGACUUGUGGCUGGGGGUGAAAGGCCAAUCAAACCGGGAGAUAGCUGGUUCUCCCCGAAAGCUAUUUAGGUAGCGCCUCGUGAAUUCAUCUCCGGGGGUAGAGCACUGUUUCGGCAAGGGGGUCAUCCCGACUUACCAACCCGAUGCAAACUGCGAAUACCGGAGAAUGUUAUCACGGGAGACACACGGCGGGUGCUAACGUCCGUCGUGAAGAGGGAAACAACCCAGACCGCCAGCUAAGGUCCCAAAGUCAUGGUUAAGUGGGAAACGAUGUGGGAAGGCCCAGACAGCCAGGAUGUUGGCUUAGAAGCAGCCAUCAUUUAAAGAAAGCGUAAUAGCUCACUGGUCGAGUCGGCCUGCGCGGAAGAUGUAACGGGGCUAAACCAUGCACCGAAGCUGCGGCAGCGACGCUGAUGCGUUGUUGGGUAGGGGAGCGUUCUGUAAGCCUGCGAAGGUGUGCUGUGAGGCAUGCUGGAGGUAUCAGAAGUGCGAAUGCUGACAUAAGUAACGAUAAAGCGGGUGAAAAGCCCGCUCGCCGGAAGACCAAGGGUUCCUGUCCAACGUUAAUCGGGGCAGGGUGAGUCGACCCCUAAGGCGAGGCCGAAAGGCGUAGUCGAUGGGAAACAGGUUAAUAUUCCUGUACUUGGUGUUACUGCGAAGGGGGGACGGAGAAGGCUAUGUUGGCCGGGCGACGGUUGUCCCGGUUUAAGCGUGUAGGCUGGUUUUCCAGGCAAAUCCGGAAAAUCAAGGCUGAGGCGUGAUGACGAGGCACUACGGUGCUGAAGCAACAAAUGCCCUGCUUCCAGGAAAAGCCUCUAAGCAUCAGGUAACAUCAAAUCGUACCCCAAACCGACACAGGUGGUCAGGUAGAGAAUACCAAGGCGCUUGAGAGAACUCGGGUGAAGGAACUAGGCAAAAUGGUGCCGUAACUUCGGGAGAAGGCACGC
RNAcentral lists this ribosomal RNA (1708 nucleotides) under Escherichia coli. RNAcentral describes it as "partial 23S ribosomal RNA". It matches the Rfam family "Bacterial large subunit ribosomal RNA", at positions 1 to 1751 of the family's 2925-position model. The record is from RNAcentral. Lineage: Bacteria; Pseudomonadati; Pseudomonadota; Gammaproteobacteria; Enterobacterales; Enterobacteriaceae.